This 647-nucleotide long non-coding RNA is filed under the name Musa acuminata (dwarf banana). RNAcentral's name for it is "long non-coding RNA (MACU_LNC010098)". Lineage: Eukaryota; Viridiplantae; Streptophyta; Magnoliopsida; Zingiberales; Musaceae. The record is from RNAcentral.
UGUUCAUACUGCCUUUUGUACUCUGGUGUUUGUGGGAUUAUCUGGACCUUUGCCAGAAAUGGUAAAGGGUAUGUGCAUAGAGCCUGAGAUGCUCUGCCGGCCCCCCCUCUGACUUCACCUAGACGUGGGUGGAUGGAGCUCCCAGACGUGGGAGACUUCUGUCUGGUGGUCAUUCAGAAAUGGAUGAUUCACAUUCUGUCUGCGGUCCCACUGCACCUUCUGUAUGUUUGAUAUGAUAUCCAGAGCUUUGGUUAUAUGUUUCUGUACAUGCUUUGGAUAAGAAUUAUAUGAAUGCAAUGUCAAAUACGACGUUUGAGCUUCUGUUUGGUAUUUGCUAUUGAUAUGCUCCGAAAUGUUCCAUACGCCGUUGAUAUGCUUCGGAACAUUUUAUACGCCACUGAUAAGCUCCGAAACGUUUCAUUUGUUGUUGUUAUACUCUGAAACGUUUCAUUCGUUGUUGAUAUGCUCCGAAAGAUUUCAUCUGUUAUUGGCAUGCUCUGAAAUGUUCUAUAUGCCGUUGAUAUGCUCCGGAACAUUUUAUACUCUAUUGAUAUGCUCCAAUUACUCUAUGAUCUGUUUGUUAAGAACCAAAAAUGUCGAUUGAAAUGAUAUGUGUGAUUCUACACCUAAUGAGAUUUGGUUUAUGG